GACGAACGCUGGCGGCGUGCUUAACACAUGCAAGUCGAGCGGUAAGGCCCUUUCGGGGGUACACGAGCGGCGAACGGGUGAGUAACACGUGGGUGACCUGCCCUCAGCUCUGGGAUAAGCCCGGGAAACUGGGUCUAAUACCGGAUAUGACUCCAUGACGCAUGUUGUGGGGUGGAAAGCCUUGUGCGGCUGAGGAUGGGCCCGCGGCCUAUCAGCUUGUUGGUGGGGUGAUGGCCUACCAAGGCGACGACGGGUAGCCGGCCUGAGAGGCGACCGGCCACACUGGGACUGAGACACGGCCCAGACUCCUACGGGAGGCAGCAGGUGGGGAAUCUCGCGCAAUGGGACGAAAGCCUGACGCAGCGACGCCGCGUGAGGGAUGACG
Molecule: ribosomal RNA, 385 nt
Filed under: uncultured bacterium
Lineage: Bacteria
Description: bacterial SSU rRNA
Rfam family: Bacterial small subunit ribosomal RNA
Source: RNAcentral